Long non-coding RNA from Malaclemys terrapin pileata, 1182 nucleotides. RefSeq lists it as uncharacterized. The record is from RefSeq and is a predicted model, not a curated record. NCBI's taxonomy places the organism in Eukaryota, Metazoa, Chordata, Testudines, Emydidae. The transcript is spliced from 3 exons.
GUUAGCCCUGUGACGAACUGGCCUGUUCUCACUGUGGUCUGUGAAUGCUGACAGGGAAGUGUGGCUGAAUAGUCUGCAUUGGGGAAUGGGAGACAGCCCGAGGGCGCAUACCUAAGUGUGUAACACGAGAACCCAGGGAGGGGUUGAAGGCCAGGUGACUCCUUAGCCCGGGAAACUGAACAAAGGCUGUGGGAGGGGUCGCUGAAGCCAGAGUGUGGGAAGCAGGCUGGAGAGAUGGCUGGGGGGCAGAGAUGGCUCUGACCUCCCAAGGGGGGCUGGGACCCCAAGAUGGACCAAACUGAGGGGGUCCCUGUUGUCUGUGCCUGCAAGACCUGUCUUGGACUGUAUUCCUGUCAUCCAAAUAAACCUUCUGCUUUACUGGCUGGCUGAGAGUCAUGGUGAAUCGCAGGAAGCCGGGGGUGCAGGGCCCCGAGUCCCCCAAUACUCCGUGACAAGCCCGACCUGUGCGUUGCACUGUGCUGAGGUGUGCGAGCUUGAUAUCAUCUUCAACUUCGAGAAGGCCUAUUUCAUUCUGGACGAGUUCCUCAUGGGCGGGGAGAUCCAAGACACCUCCAAGAAGAGCGUGCUGAAAGCCAUCGAGCAGGCUGACCUGCUGCAGGAGGAGGAUGAGUCACCCCGCAGCGUGCUGGAGGAGAUGGGGCUGGCGUAGCGACCCGUUCGCCGGGCCUCCCCCCACUCGCCAUCCGUCCCCAGCCGCGUCGGACACCGCGGGCGCCACGUCCCCUGCGUCCUCGUCCCGUGGAGCAGCAGCCGGACGUGGGACCAAUUCGCCCUGGAGCCGACGGGGGGGGUGAGCCCCAUGAACUGUGUGUAAAUAUAUAGAUAUACACCCCUUGGGGAGCCCACGGGACCCUGCCAGAGCCCCCCACCCCCGGCGUUCUCCUUCCUGCCGAUGGCCACUAAGAGCGGGGAGCAUGGGGAGAGGGGCCGGCUGGGCGGGGGGACUGUGCGGAGAGAUCCCCCUGCACAGUGAUCCUGCCGCCAGCCGGAGCGAUCGCCACACCACAGCUGGGUACUGCCGGGCAGGGGGCUACAGCCAAUCCCAGGGUCCCAUUUUCCCCGGCACCUCCGUGGGCGGGGCACUCAGGGCGUGGGGAGUGCGUGUGCCCCCCCCCUUGGGGAACCGGGGUCCCCCCUUUGGAAUAAAGUGUGUGUGGAGAA